UACGGAGGGUGCGAGCGUUGUCCGGAAUCAUUGGGCGUAAAGGGCGCGUAGGUGGCCACUUCAAGCGUGCGGUGAAAGUCGGGGGCUCAACCCCUGAUCGGCUGUGCGAACUGGGGGGCUGGAGCACUGUAGAGGCAGGCGGAAUUCCGGGUGUAGCGGUGGAAUGCGUAGAGAUCCGGAAGAACACCGGUGGCGAAGGCGGCCUGCUGGGCAGUUUUGCUGACACUGAGGCGCGACAGCGUGGGGAGCAAACAGG
RNAcentral lists this ribosomal RNA (256 nucleotides) under uncultured bacterium. Its description in RNAcentral is "partial 16S ribosomal RNA". It matches the Rfam family "Bacterial small subunit ribosomal RNA", at positions 524 to 776 of the family's 1533-position model. The record is from RNAcentral.